This 163-nucleotide ribosomal RNA is filed under the name Osmorhiza longistylis. RNAcentral's name for it is "5.8S ribosomal RNA". It matches the Rfam family "5.8S ribosomal RNA". Rfam says of the family: 5.8S ribosomal RNA (5.8S rRNA) is a component of the large subunit of the eukaryotic ribosome. It is transcribed by RNA polymerase I as part of the 45S precursor that also contains 18S and 28S rRNA. Lineage: Eukaryota; Viridiplantae; Streptophyta; Magnoliopsida; Apiales; Apiaceae. The record is from RNAcentral.
AAAUGACUCUCGGCAACGGAUAUCCCGGCUCUCGCAUCGAUGAAGAACGUAGCGAAAUGCGAUACUUGGUGUGAAUUGCAGAAUCCCGUGAACCAUUGAGUCUUUGAACGCAAGUUGCGCCCGAGGCCACUAGGCUAAGGGCACGUCUGCCUGGGUGUCACGC